GGGAGAAAGGACUUCAAAUCAUAUACCCAUGCAUGAUCAAUCAUGUGACUUCUUGGGGUUUUGAGCUCUAGUCAUAGAAUAAAAGUAAUGAACCUGCCAGUAUUUCCCAAAAUGUGUUCCCUGUUGAUUAUAUGUUUGGUAAUAAAGGUAUCCCCAUCACACUGUUGUGUCUGUUAUCUUUCAGGGUCCUCUCCCUUUGGACUUUAGGAGGUAUGCAAAUGAGACAGAGAUAACAAGAGCA
Molecule: long non-coding RNA, 241 nt
Filed under: Homo sapiens (human)
Lineage: Eukaryota; Metazoa; Chordata; Mammalia; Primates; Hominidae
Description: HSALNT0190526
Source: RNAcentral